GAUGAACGCUGGCGGCGUGCCUAACACAUUCAAGUCGAACGGAGUUGAAUAUCUUAAUCUUCGGAAGCGGAUGUUUGACUUAGUGGCGGACGGGUGAGUAACGCGUGAGUAACCCACCCUUAUGAGUGGAAUAACACAGGGAAACUUGUGCUAAUACCGCAUGACAAGUAGAGAUCGCAUGUUCUUUACUUCAAAGAUUUAUCGCAUAAGGAUGGACUCGCGUCCGAUUAGAUAGUUGGCGGGGUAACGGCCCACCAAGUCGACGAUCGGUAGCCGGACUGAGAGGUUGAACGGCCACAUUGGAACUGAGAUACGGUCCAG
RNAcentral lists this ribosomal RNA (321 nucleotides) under uncultured bacterium. Its description in RNAcentral is "bacterial SSU rRNA". It matches the Rfam family "Bacterial small subunit ribosomal RNA", at positions 28 to 334 of the family's 1533-position model. The record is from RNAcentral.